RNAcentral lists this ribosomal RNA (443 nucleotides) under uncultured bacterium. Its description in RNAcentral is "partial 16S ribosomal RNA". It matches the Rfam family "Bacterial small subunit ribosomal RNA", at positions 338 to 795 of the family's 1533-position model. The record is from RNAcentral.
CCUACGGGGGGCAGCAGUGGGGAAUAUUGGGCAAUGGGCGCAAGCCUGACCCAGCAACGCCGCGUGAAGGAAGAAGGCUUUCGGGUUGUAAACUUCUUUUGUCAGGGACGAAGAAAGUGACGGUACCGGACGAAUAAGCAACGGCUAACUACGUGCCAGCAGCCGCGGUAAUACGUAGGUGGCAAGCGUUAUCCGGAUUUACUGGGUGUAAAGGGCUUGUAGGCGGGACGGCAAGUCAGAUGUGAAAACCACGGGCUCAACCUGUGGCCUGCCUUUGAAACUGUUGUUCUUGAGUACCGGAGAGGCAGGCGGAAUUCCUAGUGUAGCGGUGAAAUGCGUAGAUAUUAGGAGGAACACCAGUGGCGACGGCGGCCUGCUGGACUGCACCUGACGCUGAGGCGCGAAAGCGUGGGGAGCAAACAGGAUUAGAUACCCCUGUAGUC